CGACCGCACUGCCCCGUCGGGCCCUCA
Molecule: small RNA, 27 nt
Filed under: Bombyx mori (domestic silkworm)
Lineage: Eukaryota; Metazoa; Arthropoda; Insecta; Lepidoptera; Bombycidae
Description: ovarian small RNA-14187
Source: RNAcentral